UAUAUGACCUGGAAGAACACCAACAAUAAGAAUUUUAAACCUCACAACAAUAAUGAUUUCAAGAAUUAUAGCCUAGAUGCGUUUCCAUAAGGGAUGUACAAAGCCUGUUGCUAUAUUUUCAAGAGUAGGAGGCAAUGAACCACAAUCCCAAGAAACAGUCAUUUCUAGACUUGAUCAAUUGUGAAUUUCUGAGUCAGUGAUGAUUGCCCAUGUGGAGGUGCUUACUGCAACAACAUUGCUUUUGAGAGAAGAUAUUCUACUACCAGGAGAAAUUACCAGUACAAGGAUAGAAGUCAUGUUUAAAAAACGAAUUAGAAUAUUGCCUGUCUUUUGAACCGGAUCCUAUACUGCAAGCUGCCAUUUGAAGGCUGGUGCUUCUCAGAAAUGAUAUUACACAUCAGAGAGGUGGCUUUGGUAUCAUCGAUUGAUUGAGAAGACUUCUUCAGGUAUAUAAGUAAAAUUGAUAAUAGGAGAGUUCUGCUUGAAUACUUUGACAUGCCAUCAGCUUUUCUGAUGAGUAUUUGCCAGGACAGACCAAGCUUAUGAGAUGGAGAGGUAUGAAUUUUGAAGAUAGGGAGUUUGUUUUCCUCUCUUCCCCAACCCCUAAUGCUGAUAAGCUAGCAACAAAAGACCUGUUACCUGGGGUGGCUACUAUCUGUGGGAGAUGAGAGGAGGCCAAGAUCAUCUCCAAACAAAAAUGCAAAUGAAACAAAAAUAAAGGAGAAGGAAAUGGAGUUACCAGUAAUCAAGAAGAAGAACAUUUUCCGUGAGCUGGAACUAUUCUUUGAUCUUUCAAGCCUUCAGAAUAUUCCCCCCAUUUCUUCUUUAGUUCUAUUCCUGACAUGUCAUGGAAUUAUAGAUUUACAGCUUAGAAAGGAUGCAAAAGGCCAUCUUGGCCAAACUUCUCAGUCUACCGAUGAGGAAACUGAGGUCUAUACAGGUUAAAUGACUUCAUCAAAGUCACUCAGAUAAUAAAUGAGAGUCAUGAUUUGAAUCCUAAGAUAUGAAUGAUAGACUGAUCUUUUAUUAUCAUAAGCCAAGAAUUUAAUACCUUUUCUUGAACUAGGAAGUAAUUAUUUUUAAAAACAAAAGUCUAGAGGUCUACAUUCUCUCUACCCAGUGUUUAUUGUAUUCAAUUUAAGGAAGUAUUCUUCUAUAAAAGUAGAUAGAAAAAUUAAGCAUUUAUCACCUGGCAGUUAACUGGUUCAGUAACUAGAGCACUGGUACUAGAAUCAGGAAGACUAGACUUCAAAUCCAGUUUCAAACACUUACUAACUGUGUGACCCUGGACAAGUCACUUAACAUCUGUUUGCCUGAAUCUGCUGGCAGAAGAAAUGGCAAACCACUACAGUAUUCUUGCCAGGCUGCGAAGAAGACUAAGAAGAAAGCAGAAAAGGCUGCAGUUUAUCUGGAAGAGAAGUGAGCAUAGAUAGGGCUUUCCAUUAAAUGGUCUUAUGCUUACUAUUAGUCUAAAUAUUUUCUCUCCUCAGGUAGAUUUAAGUUUCUUGAAGGUAGAAACUAUAUUAUCUUCAUUUCUUUUGAAUUUUUCAAAAGCCCCUAAUAUCAUUCUGCAUGCAGUAUUAUUUUAUAAGUGCUUUCAUUCUCCAAAUGUUACAGAUUCUGUUUUCUUUUUAGAGUGGACUCCAGAAAGGGGCAGUGUGAUGCAGUUAAUAGAUAGAGUUAACUUGGAAAUCAAGAACACUAGAGUUCAAGUCUUGCCUCUCAGAUGUGCUGGCUGUGUGAUACUGAACGAGUCACUUACCCUUUCAAUCUCUACCCCUACAUCCCAUGACAACUCUCUAAGACUAUAUAUUGUACUAAUCAAAACAGUUGAAGACAAAAAGAAUAAAGCUAGGGGUUCUCCAGGAUGGGCAAUGUUUACUUUAUAAAUUAGGAGACCAAAAUACCUGUGAAUAUGUAUCUUGAUGCUCCCUGAAAACUUGUUGCUUUCAGCUAUUUCUUUGUAGUUCUAAAAGGUGAUGGAUGUGUCUAGGAGAAAUUUUUCUUCCACAGUAUCUCAUUGAGAAGACUGAUGAAGAUGGGACCAGACAGACAGAGAAAUAAAGCUAUAGAUGAAAAACAGAAAUUAACAUGGAAAGAUAAAAGCUAAGAGUAUCAGAUUCACCAGAUGGAUUUUGGUACAAUGAUAUGGACUGAGGUAAAAAAUUGGAGGUAAAAUAAAGGUACAAGUCAAACAUAUACCUAUUCAGUUGUUGGGAAAAAAAAUAGAGCCAUUUGAAAAAAGUACCAGAAAAAGAAUUGGGAAUAAUUAAUUUUGGCAGAGGUAAAAGAAAGAAAGAAAGAAAGGAAACUCCUAGAAGAUGAUAAAUGCCCUUGGUUCUCAUGUCCUUGCCAAUUUUUUAAAAAAGAUUAUAGUUAAACAUGACUUUUCCAAGGCAACAGGAAUGUUUCAAAAAUAUGCAGUACCAAUAAUACACAAAAAUCCCAUUUAGAAAGCAUCAUUGCCAGUGAGGGAGAAGGGUGAAGGAUGGAAGAAGAAGAGAUUUGGCUUCAUUUUUAUUUUUCACAUUUUAUGCAGACAUCAUUUAUAGUAUGCGUUAGUUCCCAAGCUUCUGAAAACAAAGGUUGAUCUUUUAAACAUCAAUUCAAUAAGCAAUUUAUUUAGCACUGUCUUCCUGGCACCAUGAUAAAUGUCAGGAAUACAAAUAAGAAAAGAAAGACAGUCCUUGCCCUCAAGGGACUUAAAAUUUAAUAAGAGAUAAUAAUAGAAAAGGAAGCUGAAAAAGAAAAAUGACCAUGGGGGAGGAGGGGGAAGUUGAUGUUCCAGGAGUCAAGACCAAGCAGGGUUACUAAAGGAAAGUGUAGAGUUACCUGGAAAAGCUAGAUCUCAGCCUCUAUAAAGGAAAAAUUUGAAAUAAAUUUGGUGCUCUACCAUCCUGCCCUCUAAUCACAGGGGAAGAGGAGGCUGAGAGAAUUAAGCUGAGUAUCCCAAACUGAGCCUUUCCAAUAUUCCUAUAGGAAUGCUGAAUUGAUUGGAGCCAUGAAAUGCCACAAAUUCCAUAUAAUUAAGGUUGGGGGUGAUUCAAAGAUGGAGUCACUUUAAUAUGGUAGUAGUAACCUGCAGGGACCAAGGAGAGAAAAACACUACCCACCAGCAGAGGACAAACGAUGGGAGUAAAAACACUGAGGAAGGACAACAGCUUGACUACAGGGGUGGAGGGGAUAUGAUCUAGGAGAGACUCUGAAUGAAUACCCUACUACAGAAACCAAUAGCAGGGAAAUGGGCUCAGGUUGAGGAUGCAUGUGACACCCAGAGGAAUCACGCUUCGCCAAUGGGAGGAGUUGGGGGAGGGGAGAGGGAAAAAAAAAAGGUGAUCUUUGUUUCUAAUGAAUAACAUUUGAAAAUGACCAAAUAAAAUAAUGUUUAAAGGAAAAAAAUAAAACUGUAUGUCCUGUUGAAAUCUGAAAAAAUAUAUAUAUGGUAGGAGUAAGCUGCAAUACAUUACAAAUCAAGAGCUAUGAAAGAGAAGUGACAUUAAGAUUGUCAUCUGAGGGGGCAGCUGGGUAGCUCAGUGAAUUGAGAGCCAGACCCAGAGAUAGGAGGUCCUGGGCUCAAAGCUGGCCUCAGACACUUCCCAGCUGUGUGACCUGGGCAAGUCACUUAACCCCCAUUGCUUAACCAUUACCACUCUUCUGCCUUGGAACCAAUACACAGUAUUGAUUCUAAGAUGGAAGGUAAGGGUUUAAAAAAAAGAAUGUCAUCUGAGAAAUACAAUGACUCAGGAGAAAAGGUAGACCAGUCAGAUGGCAAGGGCAAAAGAUAAAUGAUAGAAGCUUGUCUGCUCCAUUGGUUUCUACAUAAUUCCAAGGAAUUAGGAGGAGAUACUUCCCUGCUUCCCCAUCAUGUUGUCUGAACCUUGAUAGAGGUUGAUAUGGGAUAUGUUGGAAUGUGCAUCCCUAGAGGAAGCAGCCAUAUCACUGACCUAAUUUAUAAAUUUUUCACUGUAUCCAAUAAAGCAUGUACAAUUUAUACUUGUAAAUUGAGAAAGAUAGAUGAAAUAUAUGAAGGAUAAAUCAUGAUCCCCAACUACUUUUCCUCCUCCCCAGAUUAAGGACAACCCUGUAUGAACAGAUAGGGUAUAAGUAUCAGAACCAGAAUUCAUACCCCUGACUCCAGAGUUCAUACUAUUCAUUAUUCCAUACUGCCUCCCCAAAAUCAUCUUGUACUAUGUACUUGGUUCCCAUAGUAUGAAAUCACUUGAUAAAUUCUAGACUGAGUUUUUGCCUAAAUCUUGGGGGACUAAACUGUUGAAAGACAAGAAGAUCACUUCAUUCUUUAGUAGAGGUCAUCAUUUUCUCCAUAUGGAUGAGUUUUUCUCAUUUUUGAGCACAAGAGAAUCCCUUUAGACUCUCAAUUCAAAGAUAAUCAAACUUCAUCCUCUUAGUUUAUUCUAAAACCUUUUCUCUUGUAAGAGUAGGAAUGAAUACAGAUAAAGGUCUUAGAAAACAUGGAAUCUGAAGUAAGAGGACUGAGCUUGAAUACUACUUAAUGUGGGAUCCUAGGUAAGUUACUAACUGUCUCUGGGCUUCCAUUUCCCCAUUUAUAAAGUGAGGACAUUGGACUUGAUGGUUUCUGAGACUCCUUUAGAGACCAGAUCUAUCUUACUAUGAUAAACAUGAUAGGACAAUAAAUGUUUACAAAUGUUCAUUAUAAAUAUGUCCUUGAGAUAAAAAUUGCUUACCGAAGCAAACCUUCUACAUUAAUCUAUCAGUCACACAACACCCAAAUCUCAUGUCCUCUGCUACUCUUCCUGCU
This is a non-coding RNA of Monodelphis domestica (gray short-tailed opossum), 4777 nucleotides long. The record is from RefSeq and is a predicted model, not a curated record. NCBI's taxonomy places the organism in Eukaryota, Metazoa, Chordata, Mammalia, Didelphimorphia, Didelphidae.